Molecule: ribosomal RNA, 272 nt
Filed under: uncultured bacterium
Lineage: Bacteria
Also listed under: 1 other name
Description: partial 16S ribosomal RNA
Rfam family: Bacterial small subunit ribosomal RNA
Source: RNAcentral
CAAGUCGAACGAGAGAAUUGCUAGCUUGCUAAUAAUUCUCUAGUGGCGCACGGGUGAGUAACACGUGAGUAACCUGCCCCCAAGAGUGGGAUAGCCCCGGGAAACUGGGAUUAAUACCGCAUAAAAUCGCAAGAUUAAAGCAGCAAUGCGCUUGGGGAUGGGCUCGCGUCCUAUUAGUUAGUUGGUGAGGUAACGGCUCACCAAGGCGAUGACGGGUAGCCGGUCUGAGAGGUUGAACGGCCACAUUGGGACUGAGACACGGCCCAGACUCC